CCCAGCCAGGCCUGACCUUGAGCGGCAGCCUGGCUAGGUCCACCAGGCUGCAUCUGGAAUGCUGGAGAAAUCCCUGAAUUUCCUGGGUUGGCCUGGAAGGAAUCAGGUUACCUUCUGAUCCGCAGACAGAGGGGCUCCCCCAGUAAGCAGAGCAGGGCCAGGGGCUGACUGGGGGGCCCCAGCAGACCUGUGGGCGGCAUAUGAGGGGAAGGCCGAGAAGGGCCUGACAGCUCCGGGGGAUCUACCCAAGACCGGAGGCUGGGGGAAGAGGGGAGGCCUAGAGAAGGGACUGGUGGGGCUGGCCGCCGCCAGGACGCCGGGCCGGGGCGGAGCGAGACUUGAGAGAAACGCGGGAGGCAAGAGGCGGAGAGCCAGGCCCCCGGUCUCGGUGGCUGGGGUGGGUGGGUGCACCUCGACCCGCAGGGGCAGAUCCAGGCCCGGCGGGAGCAGGUCCAGGCGCCAAUGAAGGCGCCCACCCCUGCUGGGCCCCAGAAGAGGUUCGCG
This 504-nucleotide long non-coding RNA is filed under the name Marmota monax (woodchuck). The record is from RNAcentral. Lineage: Eukaryota; Metazoa; Chordata; Mammalia; Rodentia; Sciuridae.